This 238-nucleotide ribosomal RNA is filed under the name uncultured bacterium. Its description in RNAcentral is "partial 16S ribosomal RNA". It matches the Rfam family "Bacterial small subunit ribosomal RNA", at positions 15 to 245 of the family's 1533-position model. The record is from RNAcentral.
GAUCCUGGCUCAGGAUGAACGCUAGCUACAGGCUUAACACAUGCAAGUCGAGGGGCAGCAUUUUUUAUAGCAAUAUAAAAGAUGGCGACCGGCGCACGGGUGAGUAACACGUAUCCAACCUGCCGAUAACUCGGGGAUAACCCUUCGAAAGGAAGAUUAAUACAAGAUGGCAUCAUGAGUCCGCAUGUUCACAUGAUUAAAGGUAUUCCGGUAGACGAUGGGGAUGCGUUCCAUUAGA